AGGGGCAGCCUGGCGAGCAGGGACAGGCACCGGCUGGAGAGGGAGGGAAGGAGCCCGCCUCCCUCCCAGCCCUGCCUCUGCCUCUGGGCAGCCUGGGGCCACCCAAGCGGACUCCACGCUCAGCUGGCAGCCCUGGCUGCAGGCCUGCCCUGCCCUGCUGGGCUGCCUCCUGCCCCGCCGGGCUGCCUCCUGCCCCAUGCAGCAUUCUGCGGGGGGCUGGGGCGCAGCGGGGGAGCCUGGUGCCCAGAGGACCCUGCGCAGCCUCCAGUCCUACCCGGGGGGCUGGGGAAAGCUCCCGAACCUGGCACAGGCCGAGGACGGCUGCACAGGACAACGCUCCCGCCCUCAGGACUGGCAGUGAUCUGCUGCAGGCUUGUAGACCCCGGGAAGAGUCUGCUUGGUGAGUUCAAGACAGUCUCAACGCUCCCUCGUGUGUGUCCCGCUGUUGGCAGCUGUGGUUGGCCACGGCUGGGCCCGCAGGCUGGAGAGCCCAGCAGAGCUAGGCAGGAGCAGGGGAACACCCUGAGGCACACAGGUCUCUUCCUGUCACUGCAGACAGUCAGUAGUUGGUCUGGCGUGAGCAGGAAUUCUCAGAUCACCUCUUGGCUGUGAGUGGUGGUGCAGAGAGCACUGCACCUUUGCUGCAUGUCAAGCAAGGGAAGACGACAUGGAGGGGACAGAGAGGUCUCUCCCAUCUUUAACCGGUCUGUGGCUACAGGGGGAUCCAGCAUGGUCCAACCCCCAGGGCUGGCUACUGGCCAGACAUGCUGUCUGACUGCAGAGCCCUCCAGGUGCUAGCCCUCCAGCGAACGCCCCUUCAUUCACAUCUCUUGUUACUCACAAACCCAAUGCGAUCAGAUCUCCCUCAUACUGCCCAUGGGAAGCUGCGCUCCAAGGUGGGAUUUUCCCUCCUUUUGCCCCACGUGCCCUCCAUGGCUUACUGACCUUUGAGCAUGGGUUUGGCCUAGCGUUAGCUGAGAUGCCCUUUGGGGCGGGGAACUCAUCCUUCCACCCACCUGGUAGCACCAGGGCCACUGAGAGCACUAUACACCUAACAACAGUAUCCCUCGAGCAAACAUGGAGCCCCGAAAGGGGACUGUCCACCAUAUCAAGGGGAGCCAGACUGCCAGCUCUCAUAACAAGCAGCACUCACCAGGACUGGGAAAGCAGGGCAGACCCCCAAGCCUCAGCACACACUCUGUAGCUACCAUCUGGGGGGAUAUGAUAGAGGUCUGUAACAUCAUGAACGGUUUGGAGAUAGUGAAUAGGGAAGAGUUAUUUACCCCUUCAUAUAACACAAGAACCAGGGGUCACUGAUGAAAUUGACAGGCAGCAGAUUUAAACAAAACACAAGGCAGUACUUCUUCACACAACACACAGUCACCCUGUGGGACUCAUUGCCAGGGGAUGCUGUGAACGCCAAAGUAUAACUGGGUUCAAAAACUAAUUAAAUAAGUUCAGGGUAGAUAGGUCAAGCCAUGGCUAUUAGCCAAGAUACAACCUCACACUCUGGAUGUGCCUAAGCCUCUGAUCGCCAGACGUCGGGACUGGAAAACAGGGGAUGGCUCACUUGAUGAUUGCCUGUUCUCUUGAUUCUCAUUGAAGCACCUGGCACUGGCUGCUGGCAGCAGACAGGAUACUGGGCUAGAUGGACCUUUGUUCUGACCCAGCAUGGCCAUUCAUAUGUUCUGUGGCCCAGCGAAUCUCCCCAAGUUUCUGCUGGGAAAUAUCCUGUUUGUGCAUCAGCUACAUGUCACCUAAGGAAAGAGAGCUCAAUGGCACUUUGGGCACCCAUGUCAAUGCCAACCACCAGUGCCAUAGUGGCAGGAGAGACCAGGAUGCAGGGAGAAUGUGCCAAAGAAGGCUAAGCUGACAGGCUUCAAAUCCCCUUGGCCUGCCUCUAGAUCCUGCUGCUGGAGGUCCUUGAUUUGCUUUGGGCCUCUAGGCACUACUGUACCGCACAGCAGGCAGUCUGCUGUGGAGAAGAGUGGGACUAAGUGCAGCAGCUGUGGUCAGUUCCAGCUUGGGCCGUGAAAUCCCCCCUUCCUAAAUUCCCAUCUCAUCUCCGCUGGGUUCUGCCGCUUUUCUGCAGUUUGCAAAAAUACCAAGCUACUGCACAACAAACAGCAUAGGGCCUAAUAACGGUGACCCACCUUGGUGAAGCACUUUGAGAUCUAUAGAUUAAACGGCUACCAAAGUGCUAAGCAUAUUAACAAUUGUUACAGGCAGCAGAGGACUAAGAGUUUUAUUUGCUCUAGGACAGGGCAAUAUAUGUCUUUCUUUGUCUAAAGAUCCUCCACUGGGAAGCAAUGGGUAAAGUUCCUAGAUAGUGACCCUUCUGCCCCCACAGGGCCUGCUCUGUCCACAGACUGUUAGCCCACAGGGAAGAGACAUGGGGAGGAGGAGAAUGAGGUAGGGGAAGGAAGUGGAAGAGGGGUAGAGGUUUUUUACCCAUGAAAGCUUAUGCCCAAAUAAAUCUGUUAGUCUUUAAGGUGCCACUGGACUCCCUGUCGUUUUUUUGGGGUAGGUGAGUGGCUCUAGUGGUUCCAAUUUCUUUGGAAGCCAUCUGUUGAGCAAAUUCAGCCAUUGCCCAUGGCCUUCAGUGGUGGGCUUCAACUGGCCUGAAGUUUGGGCUGCCCAAGUUCCAUCCCAGGACUGAACGAGUUCUGUUAAACAGGAAUUGGGAGGUCAGACUAGCUGCUCACAAUGCUCUAAGACCUUCGGUUCUGUGACUAUAAACAGGCCUUUGAAACGAUGCCAGGAGGAACAUAGCGGUGUAGAUCUAAUGGAGAGUCUGACAGCACAUUCUGAUCGUUGUCUAUCUCCUUUCCUGUCGUGCCUGAUUAACGAGAUGUGCUGGCUCUCCCCUGAGCAGCCUCCCCCUCCUCAGCAGUACUCUCUGUGAGUUAUUGCCCCCACGCAUGGGAACAGGCCAGUGUAGAAUAUUAGUGAUCUCAGAGAAGGGAACAGGCUUGUGAGUGUGUGGAGGGAGCUGGAGCAGGUUUCUCUUUGUAGACAAACUCCUUUAUGGCUGAGAAAGAAAUAGACCUAAUGGAGUUUCAGUAAAGGGUUUACUUGGCCAGCACAUGGUCAUGUCCUUCAGUGGGUCAAAGGCCCAAGCUGCAGAAGCCCAUGCUCAGAGUUGUUAGGGUCACAACAGCUGUGUCUGUCCCCAUAGCAGAUGCUAGCAGGUUCCUCUUAGAUCAGCAACUUCAGCACCUGUUCAGUCACAUUCAAGCCACCUACCUUCGCCCAAAAGUUAGACACACUGUCAAGUUCCAGAUUUCAACAUGCAGCAUAUUUCCCACCUAUAUUGCCAUUAACCUCCGAGAGCCUGCGAGGUGCCAAAUGUCCCGAACUCCCAAUGACUUCAGGGCAGUUAUUUGGUCUGUAAAAAUGCUCAGCAUCCUUUUGGGCGCCAUAAAUAAUACAUUAACCAGAAAAAAGCCCAUUUCCUGGCCCCUGUGUUGCACAGGCUGGUUGCAUUCCUCUCAGCUGGACAAGGAAGCUGAUUAGCCCCUUUCACUUUUGUUUCUGAUCAGUUUCAAAUUGUUUAAUUUUCUGAGUUGUGAACACCUCAAGAUCCAAACAAAUAACUGUCUGUUCUAGAGUCUACGAAAUCUGUGAUGAAAACAUUUCAGCUGGUCUUUGGUGUCCUGGCAUGUUCCUUUAACAAAACCUGCACGUGAGGCU
This is a long non-coding RNA of Chelonia mydas (Green sea turtle), 3693 nucleotides long. RefSeq lists it as uncharacterized. Lineage: Eukaryota; Metazoa; Chordata; Testudines; Cheloniidae. The record is from RefSeq and is a predicted model, not a curated record. The transcript has 3 exons.